This 848-nucleotide ribosomal RNA is filed under the name uncultured bacterium. RNAcentral describes it as "bacterial SSU rRNA". It matches the Rfam family "Bacterial small subunit ribosomal RNA", at positions 645 to 1504 of the family's 1533-position model. The record is from RNAcentral.
AGUAUGAUAGAGGAAAGCAGAAUUUCUAGUGUAGAGGUGAAAUUCGUAGAUAUUAGAAAGAAUACCAAUUGCGAAGGCAGCUUUCUGGAUCAUUACUGACACUGAGGAACGAAAGCAUGUGUAGCGAAGAGGAUUAGAUACCCUCGUAGUCCAUGCCGUAAACGAUGUGUGUUAGACGUUGGAAAUUUAUUUUCAGUGUCGCAGGGAAACCGAUAAACACACCGCCUGGGGAGUACGACCGCAAGGUUAAAACUCAAAUGAAUUGACGGGGACCCGCACAAGUAGUGGAGCAUGUGGUUUAAUUCGAAGAUACGCGCAGAACCUUACCAACACUUGACAUGUUCGUCGCGACUCUAAGAGAUUAGAGUUUUCGGUUCGGCCGGACGAAACACAGGUGCUGCAUGGCUGUCGUCAGCUCGUGUCGUGAGAUGUUGGGUUAAGUCCCGCAACGAGCGCAACCCUCACUUUUAGUUGCCAUCAUUAAGUUGGGCACUCUGAAAGAACUGCCAGUGAUAAGCUGGAGGAAGGUGGGGAUGACGUCAAGUCCUCAUGGCCCUUACGUGUUGGGCUACACACGUGCUACAAUGGUAUCUACAACAGGAAGCAAAACGGCAACGUCUAGCAAAUCCCGAAAAGAUACCUCAGUUCGGAUUGCACUCUGCAACUCGAGUGCAUGAAGCUGGAAUUACUAGUAAUCGUGGAUCAGCGUGCCACGGUGAAUGCGUUCCCGGGUCUUGUACACACCGCCCGUCACACCAUGGGAGUUGGUUCUACCUUAAGGCAAGGUUUUAAACCCUUGACCACGGUAUAGUCAGCGACUGGGGUGAAGUCGUAACAAGGUAACCGUA